GUUAGGAAUAUUGGACAAUGGGCGCAAGCCUGAUCCAGCCAUGCCGCGUGAGUGAUGAAGGCCUUCGGGUUGUAAAGCUCUUUAGCCGAUGAUUAUAAUGACUGUAGUCGGAAAAUAAGCCCCGGCUAACUUCGUGCCAGCAGCCGCGGUAAUACGAAGGGGGCGAGCGUUAUUCGGAAUCACUGGGCGUAAAGCGUGCGUAGGCGGCUUUGCAAGUUGGGAGUGAAAGCCCAGGGCUCAACCCUGGAAUUGCUCUCAAAACUGCAAGGCUCGAAUUCGGGAGAGGAUAGCGGAAUUGUCAGUGUAGCAGUGAAAUGCGUAGAUAUUGACAGGAACACCAGUGGCGUAAGCGGCUAUCUGGACGAGUAUUGACGCUGAGGCACGAAAGCGUGGGGAUCAAACAGGAUUAGAAACCCGUGUAGUCC
Molecule: ribosomal RNA, 425 nt
Filed under: uncultured bacterium
Lineage: Bacteria
Description: partial 16S ribosomal RNA
Rfam family: Bacterial small subunit ribosomal RNA
Source: RNAcentral